AUCACACUGGCUUACACAGCGAUGCCAGUUUGAAUUACGGUUUGGCAAUGCAGACUGGCGUCUCCUCGACCGAUUGGCCAAUGAUUGGAACGCAGAAGUUCAGUAGCUAUUUUGUCUUAACAAAAACGAUUUAUGUUGGAGGUGGUGUUAGUGGCAGGAAGAUCGCCGUAAGGGCAAUUGUAGUUAAAGACAAUCGAGCGAAAGUUCCAGGUUGCCAACAACAUUUCUUCAAACUUUUCAACCCAACUACCACUGCGGUCCGAUUGAUCCAAUCGGAGACGUGCAUCAAUGAGAUUCUGUGUUCGCAAGCCUGCAUUAACCAUCCAACGUGCAACGGAUUAAGUUUUGAUACAUCCACACAGAUUUGUUACUUUUACUUGGCCAUUCAGACUAUGACAACUCAACCUGUCCUUGCAAAACCGAUAUACGCGCAAAUGAAAUAAACAUACUCCGCGCAGUUAUAGAAGCGUGACAAGGUGGUUCUACUAUAUUGUGUUUUGUCUCUGUGGAGAAAUCCCGCAUAAAAUCUGACGUCAAUAAUUUAAUUUGAAAUCAGAGUGGAAUAGAAUUAACAAAAAGGUAUGAUUUUGGUGGCAGUUCGUUUCAAUUCCCUGAAAAUCUACUUGCGUUAUAUUUGUCGGUCUCCUCAUCCUAAAGAAAUGUAUUCGUUGGAUUCCUGGAAUUUUCCUUAGGACUCGCACUACCAAUCAUAAUUAAUGAUACAGGGGGUUAAUUAGUGGUCAUCAGUUGACUUGGUGUGAUUCAGUUAUCAGUACAUUGCUCGUCUUGCAAGUCACAUAAAUCUGAAUGCACCAUGAGAUAAUUAGAGUUAGUGGCGACAUAUCGGGCAAUAUGAAUAAAAGAGAGUAUUUACUAGCUAGUAGAAGUAAGCAGUAAAAGCAUCUACUUGUUAGUAUAUACUAUAAGUAAAAGUAAAUACUCCAUUUCGUAUGAAUAAACUUUUACUUUUACAUUGUACUUCAAAGCAGUUACUUCUACUCGACUAGUAUGUACUUGUUGAUGUCCUGAGCUCAGAUCUUUCUUUGUUUCUCAGGUCACUUGGGAUAAUACUAUGUAUUGCAAUGCGUUAGAUGUUCCGUAUUGUUUUUCAUAGAUCAUGUAAAUAGAUCAGGCACAUCCUGAACUGUGUAUAUAGAAGGUCCAGGAUUGAAUAGAAAUGUCAGAUACUGAGGAUUCUUUGGAUUUAUCUACAAAUGCGGCUUGUGACAAACAGGAAACCUUUGUCCAAAUUCUGAAGGAUAAUGCAAUUCUUUUGAGCAAGUCGCAAAUACCCAGUGUAAAAAAAAGAAGGCACAAGCAAUGGUGAAUCUAAUUGCCGAGUACCAGAGAAAAACUGGAAUUAAAAUGACUGACAAACAAAUCUCCAAAACAUUGAACAACAUGAAAAACGACGUUAAGGGGAAGGCUGACGUGACGAGGACUGGAAAUCGCCCAAUAAAGCUGAAAAAUUGAGAUAAGGUGCUUUUCGAACUGUUGGAUGCCGAGUCAAAUCCAUCUCUAAGUUGCACACCAAGUGGCCUUGGUGUGUGCAUAGGAACCAAGCGCUCAGCAUCUCUGACUCUUUCUAGUGGAACAGCU
Lineus longissimus is the source of this 1599-nucleotide long non-coding RNA. RefSeq lists it as uncharacterized. The transcript has 3 exons. Lineage: Eukaryota; Metazoa; Nemertea; Pilidiophora; Heteronemertea; Lineidae. The record is from RefSeq and is a predicted model, not a curated record.